GGGUCCGUGGCGUAAUGGACAGCGCAGCCGCCUCUUAAGCGGCCAGGUGAGGGUUCGACUCCCUCCGGUCCCA
RNAcentral lists this transfer RNA (73 nucleotides) under Myxococcales bacterium. RNAcentral describes it as "tRNA-Lys". It matches the Rfam family "tRNA". Rfam says of the family: Transfer RNA (tRNA) molecules are approximately 80 nucleotides in length. Their secondary structure includes four short double-helical elements and three loops (D, anti-codon, and T loops). Further hydrogen bonds mediate the characteristic L-shaped molecular structure. tRNAs have two regions of fundamental functional importance: the anti-codon, which is responsible for specific mRNA codon recognition, and the 3' end, to which the tRNAs corresponding amino acid is attached (by aminoacyl-tRNA synthetases). tRNAs cope with the degeneracy of the genetic code in two manners: having more than one tRNA (with a specific anti-codon) for a particular amino acid; and 'wobble' base-pairing, i.e. permitting non-standard base-pairing at the 3rd anti-codon position. The record is from RNAcentral. Lineage: Bacteria; Pseudomonadati; Myxococcota; Myxococcia; Myxococcales.